Long non-coding RNA from Prionailurus viverrinus (fishing cat), 654 nucleotides. RefSeq lists it as uncharacterized. The transcript is spliced from 3 exons. NCBI's taxonomy places the organism in Eukaryota, Metazoa, Chordata, Mammalia, Carnivora, Felidae. The record is from RefSeq and is a predicted model, not a curated record.
UCUCCACCCAGAAGCAGGCCUGGCAACAAGGCUGAAACACCACUGGCAGAAACACAGCACCCACACAGCCAGGCAUGGGCUGGGGUUCCCCAGGGAGGACCAUCAAUCUUCUCACCCACCUAAGACAUUUGGCUGCAGCAGGAGGGCCUCAGAGUUCCUACCCGAUGCUGAGUGGGACCCAAAGGAACAGGAUGCCAGGCCUCUGCGGGUCACCCGUGGUGAAAUAAAUGGCCAUCAAGCACCCACUACAUGCGAGGCACUGUGCCGGGCACUGGGACACCGAGGGACUAAACCACCACACCGUCCCCGUGUUCACAGAGCUUCCCAGGAGAGGCACAGGUAAACAACCAACAACAAAUAAUUACAAAUUGGGUUAAGUGCUAUGAAGACAGGAAAGUGUAAUUAGCCUGUGCUCACCUCUCUCUGGCCCCCGAGGCCUGCCCUCAUUAUGGAAUACCCACAACUGCCUGACCUCUCCAGCACGCUGCUCGGCCGAGGACCUCGCUUACACCUGGCAUAGCAAAGAUGUGACAACAGUUUGAGGAACAUUUGCUGAGCCCAAUUGGAGACAAAAACAAUUUUUUUUAAUUGUUUUUAACGUGUAUCUAUUUAUUUUUGAGAAAGAGAGAGAGAAAGAGAGAGAGACAGAGCAUG